Non-coding RNA from Schizosaccharomyces pombe (fission yeast), 255 nucleotides. The record is from the annotation of a GenBank genome assembly. NCBI's taxonomy places the organism in Eukaryota, Fungi, Ascomycota, Schizosaccharomycetes, Schizosaccharomycetales, Schizosaccharomycetaceae.
ACAUGAAGUGAGAUUCUAAAAGACAAGCCAUUAAAUAUGUUACGGCAGGAGAUUGAACCAAUUUGAAAAACCGAGUGUAAAGAUUAGGACAUGCUUCGGUGUUUCGCGGAAGGAUAUGACCAACCCGCUCAUUAUUUUUUUGCGCCAGCGCUGACAAUCGAAGAGCUAGCUGCACUCUUUGAUCGUCAAAUAUUUCUAUUGGUAGGAUUUGGGAUUGUCUGACAACAUCCGGAUCACGUAAAUGCGUUAUAAUUG